CAGGGAGACAACAAAAUGUUUAAUAUUAUUAUUUUGUCACCUUAGGUCGAUCGGUAUCUCACAUUCUUGAUUUAUCAAGAAUUUCAUUUCCUAAGUUUUUCUAGGUCACACCCAUUAUUUUUCCUGGGCCAUUAGCUCAGGUGGUUAGAGCGCACCCCUGAUAAGGGUGAGGUCCCUGGUUCAAGUCCAGGAUGGCCCAUAUCUCUAUGUUGGGGGUAUAGCUCAGUUGGUAGAGCGCCUGCUUUGCAAGCAGGAUGUCAGCGGUUCGAGUCCGCUUACCUCCACUGAUUACCACCUCUUCCAUAUUUUUAGAAAGGAAAAUUUUGAGUUGUGAUCAAAUUCUGAACGAAUCUAGCUUCCUAAUGUAACCAUUAAGAUGCUGGACUCAUUGAAUUAAUUUCAUUGUUUUCAGAGAACCUUGACAACUGCAUAGAUUAUUUUUUUAAAGACAAUAAGCAUCUUUAAUGAUGCAGAUUUAUUAUUUGUGCUAAAGCAUUAAUAACAAUUCUAUUAAGCUGAUGCUUCA
Molecule: transfer RNA, 526 nt
Filed under: uncultured Prochlorococcus sp.
Lineage: Bacteria; Bacillati; Cyanobacteriota; Cyanophyceae; Synechococcales; Prochlorococcaceae
Description: partial 16S-23S ribosomal RNA intergenic spacer
Rfam family: tRNA (bases 212-284)
Source: RNAcentral